GACGAACGCUGGCGGCGUGCCUAACACAUGCAAGUCGAGCGGAGAUACAUUGAAGAGCAAUCAGAUAUGUAUCUUAGCGGCGGACGGGUGAGUAACGCGUGGGCAACCUGCCUCAUACUGGGGGAUAACACAGGGAAACUUGUGCUAAUACCGCAUAAUAUCAUUAUAGGGCAUCCUGUGAUGAUCAAAGGAGCGAUCCGGUGUGAGAUGGGCCCGCGUCCAAUUAGCUAGUUGGUGGGUAACGGCCACCAAGGCGACGAUUGGUAGCCGAACUGAGAGGUUGAUCGGCCACAUUGGGACUGAGACACGGCCCAGACUCCUACGGGAGGCAGCAGUGGGGAAUAUUGCGCAAUGGGGGAAACCCUGACGCAGCAACGCCGCGUGAAGGAUGAAGGUCUUCGGAUUGUAAACUUCUUUGAUGAGGGACGAACACAAUGACGGUACCUCAAAACAAGCCACGGCUAACUACGUGCCAGCAGCCG
This 482-nucleotide ribosomal RNA is filed under the name uncultured bacterium. Its description in RNAcentral is "bacterial SSU rRNA". It matches the Rfam family "Bacterial small subunit ribosomal RNA", at positions 28 to 517 of the family's 1533-position model. The record is from RNAcentral.